This 268-nucleotide ribosomal RNA is filed under the name Salmonella enterica subsp. enterica serovar Kentucky. Its description in RNAcentral is "partial 23S ribosomal RNA". It matches the Rfam family "Bacterial large subunit ribosomal RNA", at positions 454 to 722 of the family's 2925-position model. The record is from RNAcentral. Lineage: Bacteria; Pseudomonadati; Pseudomonadota; Gammaproteobacteria; Enterobacterales; Enterobacteriaceae.
CAUCCUCCAAGGCUAAAUACUCCUGACUGACCGAUAGUGAACCAGUACCGUGAGGGAAAGGCGAAAAGAACCCCGGCGAGGGGAGUGAAAAAGAACCUGAAACCGUGUACGUACAAGCAGUGGGAGCACAGGUUUACCUGUGUGACUGCGUACCUUUUGUAUAAUGGGUCAGCGACUUAUAUUCUGUAGCAAGGUUAACCGAAUAGGGGAGCCGUAGGGAAACCGAGUCUUAACCGGGCGUUAAGUUGCAGGGUAUAGACCCGAAACC